This 336-nucleotide ribosomal RNA is filed under the name uncultured bacterium. RNAcentral's name for it is "bacterial SSU rRNA". It matches the Rfam family "Bacterial small subunit ribosomal RNA", at positions 29 to 346 of the family's 1533-position model. The record is from RNAcentral.
AACGAACGCUGGCGGCGUGGAUUAGGCAUGCAAGUCGAACGCGAAAGAGGGGGUAACUCCUCGAGUAGAGUGGCGAACGGGUGAGUAACACGUGAGAAACCUGCCUUCAGCAGGGGGAUAACACUCCCAACGGGGUGCUAAUACCGCAUGAGACCACGGAUUCGCAUGGAUCUGGGGUCAAAGGUGGCCUCUGCUUGCAAGCUACCGGCUGAAGAUGGUCUCGCGUCCCAUUAGCUAGUUGGUGGGGUAAUGGCCCACCAAGGCGACGAUGGGUAGCUGGUCUGAGAGGAUGGUCAGCCACACUGGGACUGAGAUACGGCCCAGACUCCUACGGGA